AUCCCAGAUAGAACUUCUUUUUGGUGUUUAUCUGAUUCAUAGGAGGCCAAAAUUAAAGAUGGAAGCUUUGCUGAUAGCACCUUUUUGUUUUGUUUUUUGGAAGGUGUUUCAAUAGUAACUUACCAUACAACA
Molecule: small nucleolar RNA, 132 nt
Organism: Magnolia sinica
Lineage: Eukaryota; Viridiplantae; Streptophyta; Magnoliopsida; Magnoliales; Magnoliaceae
Source: RefSeq, a predicted model, not a curated record